This 61-nucleotide transfer RNA is filed under the name Prochlorococcus marinus CUG1416. RNAcentral describes it as "tRNA-OTHER". Lineage: Bacteria; Bacillati; Cyanobacteriota; Cyanophyceae; Synechococcales; Prochlorococcaceae. The record is from RNAcentral.
AUAGCUUAGUUGGUGAUCUGCAUGGCAUGCAGGGGCAGGGGUUCAAAUCCCCUUGGCUCCA